Molecule: ribosomal RNA, 253 nt
Filed under: uncultured bacterium
Lineage: Bacteria
Description: partial 16S ribosomal RNA
Rfam family: Bacterial small subunit ribosomal RNA
Source: RNAcentral
CACGUAGGGUGCAAGCGUUGUCCGGAUUCAUUGGGCGUAAAGGGAGCGUAGGCGGGUUAUCAAGUUGGGGGUGAAAGCCCGGGGCUCAACCUCGGAAUUGCCUUCAAAACUGAUAACCUGGAGUAUGGAAGAGGUAAGUGGAACUCCGAGUGUAGAGGUGAAAUUCGUAGAUAUUCGGAAGAACACCAGUGGCGAAGGCGACUUACUGGUCCAUUACUGACGCUGAGGCUCGAAAGCGUGGGGAGCAAACAGG